UACGUAGGGGGCAAGCGUUGUCCGGAAUCAUUGGGCGUAAAGAGCGUGUAGGCGGUUCAGUAAGUCUGCUGUGAAAGUCCAGGGCUCAACCCUGGGAUGCCGGUGGAUACUGCUGGGCUAGAGUACGGAAGAGGCGAGUGGAAUUCCCGGUGUAGCGGUGAAAUGCGCAGAUAUCGGGAAGAACACCCGUGGCGAAGGCGGCUCUCUGGAACGCAACUGACGCUGAGACGCGAAAGCUAGGGGAGCGAACGGG
This 253-nucleotide ribosomal RNA is filed under the name uncultured bacterium. RNAcentral's name for it is "partial 16S ribosomal RNA". It matches the Rfam family "Bacterial small subunit ribosomal RNA", at positions 524 to 776 of the family's 1533-position model. The record is from RNAcentral.